GAGAAGGGUUGUUAAGGAACUCGGCAGAUUGACCCCGUAACUUCGGGAUAAGGGGCGCCUGCGAGAGCAGGCCGCAGUGAAAAGGCCCAAGCGACUGUUUAGCAAAAACACAGCUCUCUGCUAAAUCGAAAGAUGACGUAUAGGGGGUGACGCCUGCCCGGUGCUGGAAGGUUAAGGGGAGUGCUUAGCAGCAAUGCGAAGGUGCGAACUUAAGCCCCAGUAAACGGCGGCCGUAACUAUAACGGUCCUAAGGUAGCGAAAUUCCUUGUCAGGUAAGUUCUGACCCGCACGAAUGGCGUAACGAUUUGGGCACUGUCUCAACAGCCCGCCCGGCGAAAUUGUAGUACCGGUGAAGAUGCCGGUUUCCCGCAACUAGACGGAAAGACCCCAUGGAGCUUCACUGUAGCUUGAUAUUGGAUCUCGGUAUUCCAUGUACAGGAUAGGUGGGAGACUUGGAAGUAAGCGCGCCAGCGUUUAUGGAGUCAACCUUGGGAUACCACUCUUGGGAUAUUGGGAUUCUAACCUGCGACCAUGAAUCUGGUCGGGGGACACUGUCAGGUGGGCAGUUUGACUGGGGCGGUCGCCUCCAAAAGAGUAACGGAGGCGCUCAAAGGUUCGUUCAGCACGGAUGGAAAUCGUGCACUGAGUGUAAACGCAUAAACGAGCCUAACUGCGAGAAUGACGGUUCGAGCAGUAACGAAAGUUGGAGUUAGUGAUCCGGCGGUAUGUGAAUGGAAAUGCCGUCGCUCAACGGAUAAAAGCUACCCUGGGGAUAACAGGCUGAUCUCCCCCAAGAGUCCACAUCGACGGGGAGGUUUGGCACCUCGAUGUCGGCUCAUCGCAUCCUGGGGCUGAAUUCGGUCCCAAGGGUUUGGCUGUUCGCCAAUUAAAGCGGUACGCGAGCUGGGUUCAGAACGUCGUGAGACAGUUCGGUCCCUAUCUGUUGCGGGCGUAGGAAUAUUGAGAGGAGCUGUCCUUAGUACGAGAGGACCGGGAUGGACGUACCGCUGGUGCACCAGUUGUUCUGCCAAGGGCAUAGCUGGGUAGCUAAGUACGGACGAGAUAAACGCUGAAGGCAUCUAAGCGUGAACUCCCCUCGAGAU
Molecule: ribosomal RNA, 1103 nt
Filed under: human gut metagenome
Description: bacterial LSU rRNA
Rfam family: Bacterial large subunit ribosomal RNA
Source: RNAcentral